This 23-nucleotide microRNA is filed under the name Cavia porcellus (domestic guinea pig). Its description in RNAcentral is "cpo-miR-672-3p". Its record names the gene cpo-miR-672-3p. Lineage: Eukaryota; Metazoa; Chordata; Mammalia; Rodentia; Caviidae. The record is from miRBase by way of RNAcentral.
CCACACAGCCACUAUGUUUCAAA